CUCUUUUACUGUGAAACUGCGAAUGGCUCAUUAAAUCAGUUAUCGUUUAUUUGAUAGUACCCUACUACAUGGAUACCUGUGGUAAUUCUAGAGCUAAUACAUGCGCAAAACCCCGACUUCGGAAGGGGUGUAUUUAUUAGAUAAAAAACCAAUGCCCUUCGGGGCUCCUUGGUGAUUCAUAAUAACUUCACGAAUCGCAUGGCCUUGCGCCGGCGAUGGUUCAUUCAAAUUUCUGCCCUAUCAACUUUCGAUGGUAGGAUAGUGGCCUACCAUGGUGGCAACGGGUAACGGGGAAUUAGGGUUCGAUUCCGGAGAGGGAGCCUGAGAAACGGCUACCACAUCCAAGGAAGGCAGCAGGCGCGCAAAUUACCCAAUCCCGAUACGGGGAGGUAGUGACAAUAAAUACUGAUACAGGGCUCUUUUGGGUCUUGUAAUUGGAAUGAGAACAAUCUAAAUCCGUUAACGAGGAACAAUUGGAGGGCAAGUCUGGUGCCAGCAGCCGCGGUAAUUCCAGCUCCAAUAGCGUAUAUUAAAGUUGUUGCAGUUAAAAAGCUCGUAGUUGUACCUUGGGCCCGUCCUGCCUGUCCGCCUCACCGCGAGUACUGGUCCGGAUGGGCCUUUCUUUCUGGGGAAUCCCAUGGCCUUCACUGGCUGUGGCGGGGAACCAGGACUUUUACUGUGAAAAAAUUAGAGUGUUCAAAGCAGGCCUUUGCUCGGAUACAUUAGCAUGGAAUAAUAGAAUAGGACGUGCGGUUCUAUUUUGUUGGUUUCUAGGACCGCCGUAAUGAUUAAUAGGGAUAGUCGGGGGCGUCAGUAUUCAGCUGUCAGAGGUGAAAUUCUUGGAUUUGCUGAAGACUAACUACUGCGAAAGCAUUCGCCAAGGAUGUUUUCAUUAAUCAGGGAACGAAAGUUAGGGGAUCGAAGACGAUCAGAUACCGUCGUAGUCUUAACCAUAAACUAUGCCGACUAGGGAUCGGGCGGGGUUUCUAUGAUGACCCGCUCGGCACCUUACGAGAAAUCAAAGUUUUUG
RNAcentral lists this ribosomal RNA (1030 nucleotides) under Talaromyces purpureogenus. RNAcentral's name for it is "SSU rRNA". It matches the Rfam family "Eukaryotic small subunit ribosomal RNA", at positions 71 to 1109 of the family's 1831-position model. Lineage: Eukaryota; Fungi; Ascomycota; Eurotiomycetes; Eurotiales; Trichocomaceae. The record is from RNAcentral.